AAAAAAAAUAUUUAUAUAUUGAGAACUUAUCUCAUAAUAUCAUCACACAGAUAAAAAAAAAUAAGGGCAAUUGCUUAUAUACCCCUGAAAAGUUCCCGACUUUCCGAUUUACCCCUCUUAGAAGGCUAAUAUUGAAAAAUACCCUUUCUACGUUCCAACCUAUUUCUAAUAUACCCCUAAAGUUAAAAUCUGUUAAUUACCUCUGUUAUCUUUGUAAAAUUACUAUUUUACCCUUUCAAUUAUACCCUUCAACCAUCACUGACUUUCUUAUUUGCCCUUAAAGUCAGGGGCACAAAAAGUAUUUUAACUUUUGGUCUUUUCCAAUAUACCCCUCUACCGUCACCAAUAUUUUUUAUUUGCCCUUAAGUUAAGGGCAAAAUUGGCAUUUUAAUUUAUUUUAACUGCGGUAGAUAUUUAACUCACGUUUAACCUAAGUUAACCUAAUAGGAGAUAACUGCGUGGGUAGUUUGCAAUAAUGGUGGAACAUAUGAGGGGUAUUUUAGAAAGAAAAAAAAAAGUAGGGGUAAAUCGGAUAUUUUCAAACGUACGAGGGAUAUAUAGGCAAUUAUCCCAAAAAAAUAAAUACUUAUGUCAAAAUUUAAUUUGAAAAACGUCGACGCUGCGCAAAACACAUUCCUUUACAUGGCCUUAAUUAUUACAUCACUUUUGGAGAAUAAAACCUUCUACAUCACUAAAAAGAUGUACAUCUGAAAAAAAAAAGCAAUGUACAACCGUACUGCACACGUU
This 747-nucleotide long non-coding RNA is filed under the name Ananas comosus (pineapple). RNAcentral's name for it is "long non-coding RNA (ACOM_LNC020086)". Lineage: Eukaryota; Viridiplantae; Streptophyta; Magnoliopsida; Poales; Bromeliaceae. The record is from RNAcentral.